Long non-coding RNA from Dermacentor andersoni, 451 nucleotides. RefSeq lists it as uncharacterized. Lineage: Eukaryota; Metazoa; Arthropoda; Arachnida; Ixodida; Ixodidae. The record is from RefSeq and is a predicted model, not a curated record.
GCAUGCGAUGCUGUCAAAGCCGAGCUCAACCUCGAGAAGUCGAACAUCGGUUUCAACAAUCCGUCUUCGGAGACUUUACUCCAGAAGAGCAUUUUCCACACGUUCGACACAGUUUCCCAGAUGCAGGAUAAGGCGAUGCUCAUCAUGGAGAUGCCAGGCAGGCGAGCCAACUUCAGCUGGUUCCUCUUCAACGUCCAUCUGACGGACGUAACGGGGCGCUGCUUGCCCAGAGGACCCUUCCAGCGCGUCAAGGAAUUCAAGGACUUCUACGACAACCUGGCGCAGAGACUGGCGGGUUAGCCCGACGCGUGGUUUGCGCGCGACUGUGCGGGGAAGCCAGAAACUGCUUCGUUAUUUUUUUUUCCUAAGGAGAGUUUCUUAACCACGUCAGCCGAUUCUUGUUGGCCAUCUUCGGAGCAAGCUAUACAGUAAAAUGGAGACGGGCCCAGGC